UGGGGAAUAUUGCACAAUGGGCGCAAGCCUGAUGCAGCCAUGCCGCGUGUAUGAAGAAGGCCUUCGGGUUGUAAAGUACUUUCAGCGGGGAGGAAGGGAGUAAAGUUAAUACCUUUGCUCAUUGACGUUACCCGCAGAAGAAGCACCGGCUAACUCCGUGCCAGCAGCCGCGGUAAUACGGAGGGUGCAAGCGUUAAUCGGAAUUACUGGGCGUAAAGCGCACGCAGGCGGUUUGUUAAGUCAGAUGUGAAAUCCCCGGGCUCAACCUGGGAACUGCAUCUGAUACUGGCAAGCUUGAGUCUCGUAGAGGGGGGUAGAAUUCCAGGUGUAGCGGUGAAAUGCGUAGAGAUCUGGAGGAAUACCGGUGGCGAAGGCGGCC
Molecule: ribosomal RNA, 379 nt
Filed under: uncultured bacterium
Lineage: Bacteria
Description: partial 16S ribosomal RNA
Rfam family: Bacterial small subunit ribosomal RNA
Source: RNAcentral